GGGUAUUUAGUAUUUUUAGGAUUAAACAUAAAAUAAAAUUAUGCAUUUAACUGAAUAAACGUCGCUUAAUUAGGGCAUUUAAGAAACGUCGCUUAUGAGACACGUGUUGGAUCCACGUCUCUUUCUCUCUCCGUUUGCAGGGUUCACCAUCGUCGUUCUGCUACUUUCAUCUUUGUCCAUGGCUUGAUUCAUCAGAUGUCUGAGAAGAACCAUCUUCUCCAGUUCGUCCCUCUCUGUUUUAGGGAUUGAUCACUUUAAUUGGAUAUGUUUGCAGUCUCCUAGCAGUUAUGGUGAGUGAUGAUUGGAUAUUCUCGGUCUAAAUUUGUUUUUGAUUAUGUUGGAAAGGAACUUCGUCAAGGCUCUGGACAUUAACUAAAAGACUAGACUGAGAGGAGAACCAACUGUAGAUUGCGUAUCAAGCAUGUAGUUGUAUUGUAAGUUUCCACUCGUCUUUUUUUUUUUUUUUUUUGGCACAAAAGUUUCCUCUCUUGUCUUAUUGCUCAUUUUAUCAUCAAUUGUUUUGUCUUGAUGUUUUCUGAAAAAUCUUUGCUUGCUUGUCUUUGUUCUGUUUUUGUUCUUGGUUUAAUUUUUUAUUUUAAGAAUCCCUAAACAAACAAGAGGCUCCCAUUGGAGCACAAAAUCAAGUCGUUUCUUAACUAAGGUUCUUAAUUACAUUUAAUUACUAAAAUAAUCAUUAAAAGAUCAUAAGUGGGGUUGUGGGUUAAUGAUGCUCUUAUGUUGUCACGUUUCAAUCAUGUUAUUGUUUUUUUUUUUUUCUAUUUCUACUUGAAGUUAAAAAUUCAGCGGGAUGAUCCAUCUGGAUGUAACAUUAUAAUGCACAAAAAGAACAUCGAUUUGCAUCCUUCACUCAGAUGGAUCGUCAGCAAACCAAAACAGGGCCUAUAAGUAUUAGCUGAGCUGGUGGAAACAUGUGUCUCUUCAAACCAGGUUUGGAGGCAGGGGAUGAGAUGGCUAAUCUGGAUCUGUCUUCUCGAAAAAUGGAACUCUUUGUCUAAAUAGAAUUUGGAGAAGCCACUCUACAUUUUUGCCAAUACAUUAUCUCCCAUAAACUUGAUUUUAUAUAAUGAGUCGAUAAAUAUACGUAUUAAAUGAAACAGUAUAAAUAUAGCUUUUAGCUGCUAUGAAUUCUCUUGGGAGGCUG
Molecule: long non-coding RNA, 1162 nt
Filed under: Brassica napus (rape)
Lineage: Eukaryota; Viridiplantae; Streptophyta; Magnoliopsida; Brassicales; Brassicaceae
Description: long non-coding RNA (BNAP_LNC014190)
Source: RNAcentral